UGGGGUCUUCCUUGUUCCUCCAAAGCCUGCGAUGUGGAGGGGCAAGGACCCUGGCCUGCGUGUCUCCCCUGGGACUGAGGGGCACACGCGGUAAGCCCGGCCAUGCUGUCCACCAGGAGGCCUUGGUCUAUAAGUGUGAGCCACACACAGAGGGGCUGCGACCCGGCUGAAACGAGGCUCCCACGGCCCCCGGGAGUGUUCAGGGCCCAGUGCUGUGUGUGCAGGCAGCCUCGCCCCACUCCCUGUGUGUUCGCUCCUGCGGGCAGCAUGGGGAAGCAGAGUGACCCAGCCGAGGGUCUAGGCCGUCCCCGUGGCAUGGCCCCUGCUCUGGGCCUCUGCCGUGGUGUUUGGACACUUCCUGUUUGCCUCCUCCCAGCGCGGUCGGUCUGGACGUCUCACCUUCGGUGCGCAGGACACGGCAGAGCCUCCUGGGUGAGCGGGGAAGCAGAGUGUGGGAUCCCGCUGGCAGGACAAGCCCCGUGGCUCCCUGCCUCCGGGCUCGGGGCUUCUCAGGACAGGCCUCCUGGGGCUGCCUCAGCAAGGAUGCUGGACGGGGUAGAGAUGUUACUGAUGCCGGAGAGAUCUUCCAUCCACUGGCUCACUCCCCAGAGACCCACAGCAGCUGGGGUUGGCCCAGCCAAACCCAGCAACCUGAACUCCACCCGGGUCUCCCAGGGAGUGGCUGGGACCCAAGUGCCUGAGUCAUCGCGCAGCCUCCCAAGCGUGCGUCGGCGGAAGCUGAGUCUGGAGCAGAGCCGGACUCACACCCGGCGCUCCAGUGUGGAAUGGAGGCGUCUGUCACCGUGUCUCCAACACUGCGCAAGUGCGCCACACUGGUGGACAGAAGCAACAGAGGCCACGUCUCUGUAGGACGCCCAGACCGAGGCACUGACAGCACCAGCCCUCUGUCCUCCCAGCCCUCACAGACGCCGAGCGCCCUGGCUCCCCCGGCGUGUGCCAUGGCUCUCUGCCCGCUAUCUGCUGUCAUGGGGCUGUCUCUCCUCUCUGUCUGCAUCCGUGUGUCCUGACAAAUGG
RNAcentral lists this long non-coding RNA (1035 nucleotides) under Oryctolagus cuniculus (rabbit). RNAcentral describes it as "lncRNA (ENSOCUG00000037546.1)". The record is from RNAcentral. Lineage: Eukaryota; Metazoa; Chordata; Mammalia; Lagomorpha; Leporidae.